This 513-nucleotide ribosomal RNA is filed under the name uncultured bacterium. Its description in RNAcentral is "bacterial SSU rRNA". It matches the Rfam family "Bacterial small subunit ribosomal RNA", at positions 32 to 521 of the family's 1533-position model. The record is from RNAcentral.
AAUCAACGCUGGCGGCGUGCCUCAGACAUGCAAGUCGAACGCGAAAGUUCCCUUCGGGGAGCGAGUAGAGUGGCGUCCGGGUGAGUAACACGUAGGUAAUCUACCUUUGGGUGGGGAAUAACAACCGGAAACGGUUGCUAAUACCGCAUAAUGCAGCGGCACCGCAUGGUGACAGUUGUUAAAGCGGGGGAUCGCAAGACCUCGCGCCUAAAGAGGAGCCUGUGGCGGAUUAGCUAGUGGCAGGGUAACGGCCUACCAAGGCAACGAUCCGUAGCCGGCCUGAGAGGGCGGUCGGCCACACUGACACUGAAAUACGGGUCAGACUCCUACGGGAGGCAGCAGUCGGGAAUUUUGGGCAAUGGGCGCAAGCCUGACCCAGCAACGCCGCGUGAAGGAUGAAAUCCCUCGGGAUGUAAACUUCGCAAGAACGGGAAGAAUAAGUCUGUGUGAAUACCACAGAUGAUGACGGUACCGUUUGUAAGCUCCGGCUAACUCCGUGCCAGCAGCCGCGGU